RNAcentral lists this long non-coding RNA (750 nucleotides) under Callithrix jacchus (white-tufted-ear marmoset). RNAcentral describes it as "lncRNA (ENSCJAG00000071121.1)". Lineage: Eukaryota; Metazoa; Chordata; Mammalia; Primates; Cebidae. The record is from RNAcentral.
AUUUUUAAAAGAUCACUGAAUGAUGAAAGCAAGAAAGCUGGAGAAUGAAGAGGUCUGUUAGGCAGUUUGCUACCUUCAACUUGCCUGUGGAGACACUGGCAGUCAUUUAUUCUUUCAGAGAAUACUCAUUCUCUAGGCAGCAGACAAAAGACUUGAAGACAUGCACAGCUGAAGGAAAUGAAAAGGCGACAAGGCUAAGAGAACAAAGAUGAGCAUUGUCACGGUCCAGAGGCUGGUGGUGGAGGAAGCAUUCUCUAUGCUGGUGCCUCUAUUGGAACUUUCAGGAAAUGAACAUAGCCAUCCAAGAUGUUAUGGGAGAUACAAGGUAGAGGACAACAUGAACCCUGUUCUCAGGGUGUUCGAAGUCUACCAGGAAAGAGAUGCCACUGCACAUGUAAGCAUAAUAAAAGCUAAAAGUAGAUGUGCCAGAAACUGGAUCAAAAUAAAAGGCUGUGAGAAGAAGAAAGGCAUUCCUUCUAGCUUUGGUCAGAUUUGGUCCACAAUCAAAUCAAAUUCUUAUUAAGUUCAUAUUUGCUUAAUGACUAACUAAACUGCUGCAUAAAAUAAUCCUCCCCCAUGGGAGAUCUUACAGACAGACCCUAAUUGCCCUAGCUAAGCUUAGAAUGUAGCUCUGAAAAGAAUGACGAAAGAGCUUAAACAGGCAAGCAAGAAAUUUUGAAGUAUCUGGUCUAUAAGAGUAAAAGACUGACGCCAAAGCCUGGGGGUACCCAGCUGGGGUCAAUCUAUAUU